RNAcentral lists this ribosomal RNA (711 nucleotides) under Dactylanthus antarcticus. RNAcentral's name for it is "partial 16S ribosomal RNA". It matches the Rfam family "Bacterial large subunit ribosomal RNA", at positions 1799 to 2592 of the family's 2925-position model. The record is from RNAcentral. Lineage: Eukaryota; Metazoa; Cnidaria; Anthozoa; Actiniaria; Ptychodactiidae.
ACUGUNNACCAGACACAUAUGCGUCUCUGCUAAAGCUAUGCUGAAGUAUGGAGGGUGAUAGUAGUCUGACCAAUGGUUGAUCUAAAAGAGUGUGGCUGAAGGCAACUUCAUAAUGGGCAAUACGAAUGGCCGCAGGUAACACUAGACCGUGAUAAUGUAACGUAAUCAUAGCCAAUUAAUUGUUGGCCGGUAUGAAUGGCGUCAUCAACGCCCCACUGUCUUAAGAGGACUCUCCAUGAAAUUGAAUUCGUAGUGAAGAUGCUACUCCAUAUUGUAAGACUGAAAAGACCCCAUUGAGCUUUACUAAAGACUUGCAUGGCUCAAAAUAUUGCUUAAAUAAAAAGUUUAGAUAAUGUGGGAUCCGUUUCCGGUUAAUGAACACCACUCUUUUAUUUUAAGAGAGCUAACAUUACAGGGAUAGUGUAAGUUGGAUAGCUUGGUUGGGGCGACCACCUUUUGAAAGGUAGUAGGUGAGCUUAAGGUCGUAGUUAAUAGCCGGUUGCAGGGGCGUCUUAGAGCCAUCCUUAGGGAUGUGGGCUAUAAGCCCGUCAUUUAGGUGUGGAAGGUUGAAGAUCAUUUAAUCAAAGGCUCCCAUGGGGACCAACAGCUGUUACUCGGUUAGAGAGGUUUAUUGAAGACAGAUGUUGGCCCAGAUGUUGGAUUGGCCCCUGGGGUCAGCCGCCCCCAAGGGDUUGGUCUGUUACCUUUAAA